This 5453-nucleotide long non-coding RNA is filed under the name Ananas comosus (pineapple). RNAcentral's name for it is "long non-coding RNA (ACOM_LNC027615)". The record is from RNAcentral. Lineage: Eukaryota; Viridiplantae; Streptophyta; Magnoliopsida; Poales; Bromeliaceae.
AAAUGAGAGGGGGUGGAGGCCACACUAUUUAUAGGCCACUCGCCGCCCAUAAUGCCAAUGAAAAGGUGCCAAGUGGCACAAUACUACUAGCCAAAAGGGGAGGCCACGCGGUCUCCCAAGAGUCAUAAUAAAUACAAUAGAAACUCGAAGUACAUUUAUUGACUACCUAGAAACUCUAAGGGACUCUUGACCCUCCGGUAUCCGUACCAUCAGUCUCGAGAUCCGCGUAGAAGCUUCUAGAAGAUUCCAAGCCAAAACCUCCGUCAGAUGUCCGCUUUGGAGUUUGGGUGAUUGCAAAGCGAAAUCGCGGAGAAAAUCUUUAUGUCGUGACAGCCUCCCCCACCUAUUGCGCAGACGCCCUCGUCGCGCGCUGGUGUUGGAAGUCAUCGAUCAGCUUCUGAUACUUCCAGAGAGUGUCGGCCUUCUCCCAGCUUGCCUCGCCAUGCGGGAGAUUCUUCCACUUGACAAGGUACUCGACGCUCCUCGGGACUCCGCGACGCCGAAUGGUACGAGUGUCCAGCAAGGCUUCGACCUCCUUGUCGAUAGCAGUGGUCAUAGUGGCGGGAGCGCGCUGCGACACGCCCCGGCUCGGGUCCUCAGCGUCUUCAUGGUAGGGCCGCAGGCAGCUAGCAUGAAAGACAGGAUGAAUCUUCAGGUUGGCGGGGAGUUGCAGUUUGUAGGCUGCCUUGCCCGCUCGCUUGAUGACAGUGAAAGGCCCCCCUCGUACUUUCGCAAAAGCCCACGAUGCACCUUGCGAAAUGCCUUGAACUGUUGUGGUUGCAGCUUGAUCAACACUCGAUCUCCCUCGCAAACUCCAAGGGUCGCCGCUUUGCAUCGGUCCACUUCUUCAUUCGGCGGGCCGUCUUCUCGAGAUAGGCUCUCGCAAUGUCUCCCUUCUCCUGCAAAUGAGAAGUGAAUUGGAGAGCCAUUGGGCUGCGGCCCUGCUCCCCCACACCAGCAGAAUGCGGAGUGAGUGGUUGCCUCCCCGUUGCCAGCUCGAACGGGCUAAGGUUGGUUGACCCGCUCCGCCGCAAGUUGUAGGAGAACUGGGCCACGUUCAGAUGAUGCACCGAGUCCUUCUGGUUGGCACUGACAUAGUGUCGUAGGUACUCCUCCAGUAAGGCAUUCACCCGUUCCGUCUGGCCGUCCGUCUGCGGGUGGAAACUGGUGGAAAAGAGCAACUCCGACCCCAAGAUCCGGAACACCUAUGUCCAGAACUUGCCCGUGAACCUAGGGUCCCGGUCACUCACAAUGCUUUCGGGGAUGCCCCAAAGCUUCACAACAUUGCUGACGAAGAGCCGCGCUGCUUCUUCCGCCGUGCAAUCCGUUGGUGCCGCGAUGAAAGUCCCGUACUUGGAGAAUCGGUCCACCACCACGAGGAUGGACCCCAACAUCCCCACCUUGGGCAAGGCGGAGAUGAAGUCCAUGGAAAUGCUUUCCCACGGACGCGUCUGUGUAGGCAGGGGCUUGAGGAGGCCCCCAGGCUUCUGGCGCUCUACCUUGUCUUGCUGGCACACAAGGCAAGUCCGCACGUACGCCUCCACGUCGUCGUGCAUACGAGGCCAAUAGUAGGCGGCCUCGAGUAGCGCCAUUGUCCGCUUUUGUCCUGGAUGUCCGGCCCACUUGGAGUCAUGACACUCCUUCAUGAGCUCACAACGAAGAUUGCCCCAUUUGGGCACAUAGACGCGCCGUCUCUUGGUGAGGAGCAGCCCAUCGCUAAGCCAGAACUGCUGUGCCUCCUUGAUGAGUCGCACGAGUCCUUGGGCCACAGGGUCCUCGCAAGUCCCUUCGCGGAUUCUCUCCCUGAUCGCGCCUUGGAUCUGGCACACCGCUGCCAGUUCCGCCUUGCGGCUGAGUGCGUCAGCCACUUGGUUGUCCUUCCCGAUUUUUGUACGAGAGCUCCAUGUCGAACUCCGCCAGGAAGUCCUGCCACCUCGCCUGCUUGGGUGACAGCUUCUUCUGAGUAAGGAAGUAGCUUAUCGCGACAUUGUCCGUCCGCACAACGAACUUGCUUCCAAGGAGAUAGUGCCGCCAAGUCCUGAGGCUGUGCACUACAGCGGUCAUCUCCUUCUCUUGCACAGUGUACCGCCACUCGGUGUCGUUGAGCUUGCGGCUCUCGUAGGCGAUGGGGUGUCCGUCCUGCACGAGAACACCACUAAUGGCAAAGUCCGAGGCGUUAGUAUGUACCUCGAAUGGACGGCUGUAGUCGGGAAGCUGUAACACCGGAUCCUCUGUCACCGCGCGCUUUAAGUCCUCGAAUGCCUCCGUGCAUCGAGGGGUCCAGUCCCAUGACUGGGUCUUCUUCAGCAGAUCCGUCAAAGGGGCCGCUCGAGCAGAGUAGCCCGCGAUGAAGUGGGAUAGUAGUUGACGAGUCCGAGAAAGGAUCGCAGCUCGGACACCGUCGUGGGCGCUUCCCACUCGCAGAUCGCCCGCACUUUCUGCUGGUCCAUGUGGAGUUGACCUCGGCCUAUCCAGUGGCCAAGGAAGUGCACCUCCUCCUUCGCAAAGGAGCACUUCUCCCUCUUGACAUAGAGCUGGUUCUCCCACAGCACUUGGAAGAUCGUCCGCAGAUGCUCGACGUGCUCCUCCAGAGUGUUGCUGUACACGACGAUGUCGUCGAGGUACACUACCACGAAGCGGUCGAGGUAGGGGUGGAAUAGUUUGUUCAUCAGGGUGCAGAAGGUCGCCGGCGUAUUCGUCAAGCCGAAUGGCAUGACGAGGAACUCGUAGGCUCCAUACCUCGUCACGUAUGCCGUUUUCUCCUCAUCGCCUUCCGCAAUCCUGACUUGGUAGUAUCCCGAGCGAAGGUCCAAUUUGGUGAAGAACGUCGCUCCGCUAAGCUGGUCAAACAAGUCAGCAACAAGGGGAAUAGGGUACUUAUUCUUUACCGUCACCUUGUUGAGCGCUCUGUAGUCAAUACAGAGCCACAGGCUUCCGUCGCUCUUCCUUUGGAACAAGACUGGUGCUCCGUAGGGUGCCUUCGACGGCCUGAUGAAGCCCGCAUCGAGGAGGUCCUUCAGUUGACGCUGCAACUCCUCGAGCUCUGGCGGGGCCAUGCGGUAUAGUGCCUUUGCUGGUGGCUUUGCUCCUAGCUCGAGCUCGAUCGCAUGGUCCACCUCCCGCCUGGGUGGAAGUUUCUUGGGCAGCUCCUGGGGCAUAACGUCUUCAAACUCCCCCAGGACUGCAUCGAUCACCGUUGGAUGGUCCUCCUGCUCGAGGUCCUCCCCGCUCACCUCACGGAUGGCCGCAAGAUAAGUGGUUUCUCCGCGCUUCACCCCCUUCCGUAGUUGCAGAGCGGAGAGGGUGUGGGUUGCCGCUGGCUCGCUGCGGCUCACCAAGACCAUGCACGGGGCUGCCUCCUCCAUGAUGCUCAAGGCCCCGAGGUGCGGCAUCGGGACCGCUUUCGAUGAAGCUAGAAAGUCGAUGCUGAGAAUGACUUUGAAGUCGUCGAUGGUCGCGGCGGUGAAGUUCGCUGUACCCGACCAGGGUCCUACAGCGAUCGUCACCCCUUUGGCUACUCCCACGACAGGCUGUGCCACCGAGUUGACAGCCUUGAUCUUGCUCGUGUCCUUCUCGAGUGUGAGGCCCAGUCGUUUGGCCUCAGACUCGGCGAUGAAGUUGUGGGUCGCCCCUGUGCCUACGAGCGCUCGAGUGGCCCUUCCGUUGAGGGUCACGUCCACGAACAGCAGCUCCUUCUUGAGCGGUUUGCUGCUCACCAGCCCCUGGAUCGCGCUUACGAGUCGUAGCACGCCCAUUUUCGUCUCCGCUUGUUCCUCGCUCUCCUCAGCUUGGAUGGCGUUGACGGUCUUCUUCUUUGGACAAUCUCUUGCCCAGUGAUCACCCCUGCAGACAUAGCAAAAGAUCUUUUUCUUCUACGGAGGGCCCUUUCACUCUUGGCCCUUUUGAUCACGUUGCUCGCGGCGGUCUCCCGCACCCUUGGCCUUGCCCGCCUUAGAUGGUUUGCCACGAGCGAAGUCCAGCUUGUCAUACUCCAGCAGCUUCUCCGCUUGAGCGAUAGCGGAGCUCACAUCCUUGACGUCUCUCGCCACGAGCUCCUUGUUAGCCCAUGGUUGAAGACCGUUGAGGAAGAAGAACAGCCGAUCCUCUUCGGCCAUGCUGGUGAUGGCAAGCAUUAGUUUGGAGUACUCCUUGACAUACUCCUUGAGGGAUCCUGUUUGCUUAAGCCGUCGAAGUUGCCUCCGCGCCAAGUAUUCGACAUGCUCGGGGUAGAACUGUGCCUGCAGUUCGCGCACGAAGUCCUCCCAAGUCUUUAGUUCGCAUUGGCCCUUCUCGGCCUCUGUAGAACGUCGACGCCACCACAGCAUCGCAUCGUCGGUGAGGUAAAUGGAAGCGGUCUGGACCUUGUCCUCCUCGUCCUCGAUCCGCAGCGCCUUGAGAUAGCGCUCCAUGUGACAAAGGAAGUUGUCUAUCUCCUUCUCGUCGCGCGAACCCUUGAAGCAUUGGGGUUCAGGGACGCGGACCUUUGGGGUGUACUCCUUCUGCGUUUCACCGCCUCGAGCCACUGCCUUCUCAAGGAUAGUCACUCUCGUCUUGAGGUCCUCGACCUCGUUGACUCGAGUGACUAGCUCCUCGAUCAAGUUCUUCCGCUCCUCGUCACGACGGGUGAUGUUGCCUUGGAGCUUCUCGAGCUCGCCUCGAAAGGUCGCCAUGGCAGUGGCGACGCUCUCCUCCAUACUGCGAACAUCAUCAUUAAAGGCGUUAAAGGUAUCGGCCAUCUCGGUGUACCUUUCACCCACCUUCGAUAGUAUGUCCUCCAACAGUGCAAGGCGGUCCUCGACCGACGCGGAAUCCUUCGUGAUUCGCGUGUCUUUGCCCUUGCUCCGCUUGGAGGGUUGCUUGGAGGGUUCACCCCCAACGUCGCCAGCACCGGCCUCGGUUGACGACAUGGUUCCUUCUCGAACCGGCUCUGAUACCAACUGUCACAGACUUAACGGUUUGGUUCGCAAAAUCCGUGCGACGCUCGCCUUCCUUCGCGAAGUGAGCAAGCCUGUCUCUCUACUUGCUAAGUUAGGACCUCGCUCGCCCUAGACUAAGUACAAGAGAGAUAAGAAGGAAGCUCUUCUAUUACUUUAAACUUGAGAAUACAAUAUGAGGAUUCUGAAAUGAGAAGGGGUGGAGGCCACACUAUUUAUAGGCCACUCGCCGCCCAUAAUGCCAAUAAAAAGGUGCCAAGUGGCACAAUACUAUUAGCCAAAAGGGGAGGCCACGCGGUCUUUCAAGAGUCCUAAUAAAUAGCAUAGAAACUCGAAGUACAUUUAAUGACUACCUAGAAACUCUAAGGGACUCUUGACCCUCCGGUAUCCGCACCAUCAAUCUCGAGAUUCACAUAGAAGCUUCUAGAAGAUUCCAAGCCAAAACCUCCGUCAGAUGUCUGCUUUGGAGUUUGGGUGAUUGCAAAGCGAAAUUGCGGAGAAAAUCUUUAUGUCGUGACA